Long non-coding RNA from Balaenoptera acutorostrata (minke whale), 1145 nucleotides. RefSeq lists it as uncharacterized. The record is from RefSeq and is a predicted model, not a curated record. The transcript is spliced from 5 exons. Lineage: Eukaryota; Metazoa; Chordata; Mammalia; Artiodactyla; Balaenopteridae.
AGAACCAAUUUCAGAAAUCCUUUAUUCCUGGUUGUAAAGAUACAGCAUUCUUGUUCUUUGGUGUUUUGUGGCUAUAGUAAAAUCAGGAAGAAGAAUUCCUCUGUGUGGAAAAUGGCAUUUUAAAAUAUCAAACCCAUUGCUUGGGCAUUUUCUAGGAUAACAUUAGGGACUGAAAUGCUAAAUUCUAUCUUCAAUUUCUACUAUGUAAAGGUUUUUUUACACCUGUACAAGAUUUCAGAAGUGGCCUUUUACCAAGCACAGAGCUGAUUCCUCAUGACCUGAAAGAGUUAUCAAGAAGCGGUUAUCCAUGUCCAAGAUCCUCUGUUUAAGGGCAAAGAGACUUUUGAAAGAUUGUCACUUAAAACACAACAGCUUUAGAGUUUAAAGGAUGAUUUUAAUGAUUUGGAAUGCUCUUAACGACAUGACUGGGUAUUUUCACAACAACGUUUUCAGGCCAUCACUGUUGUCAUGCUGUUCUUGCUACUGCCAGCCUUUACACUGGCAUGCGCCACGUGAGUCACUUAGAACCUAAAAGAAGCCCUGAGGAAAACCCUUUCUCAGAAACUGAAUAGGAUCUCCCCUGGACCUCCGUCAUCUCAGUGAUGAGACAAAUCUUGAUCCAGAAAAACUUUCGCCUUUUUCUGAUAAUGAAUUUCUUCCAAGUCUUCCAUUUAACCUUCUUCAGUAACUUCAUGAUGAUCUUUGUUGGUAAUCUCAUUCCUAAGGAUGUUCUUCCUUCUUCCAUAAGGAGCAUCAUGUAUGGGGCAGGCUUUAUCUGCCCACAGGGAUGUGAUGAUUCUUCAUGUAUCUUCCUACAGGGAUUAAAGAUAUAACUCUUACCUGGCUGAGGAAUUAAAAACCUGAUUAUAUCAGUAGUUGGAAAAAAUGAUUCACAUUUAUUAAGAGACCCAAAGAUUCAGAGUCCCAGAAAUUAUACAAGAUUCUGUAGAAAUAUAAUGGAAACAAGAGAUGCAAGGAGAAAAGGAAGGAGAACGCAAGAAAACUGAGCAAUGUAAUAUUUUAAACAUUUAGCUUUUCAAUUUUGUUCUCCUGAGCUUCCUCAUUUAAACCUCCGCAGAACUACGGAGGAAAAUACAUGGCUUCCUGUGAGCAUGUCAUUUUGCCUUAUCCUGACAUUUAAGAUU